Molecule: ribosomal RNA, 744 nt
Filed under: Triticum aestivum (bread wheat)
Lineage: Eukaryota; Viridiplantae; Streptophyta; Magnoliopsida; Poales; Poaceae
Description: partial small subunit ribosomal RNA
Source: RNAcentral
AUGCUAGUAUAUGAGUUCAUCCCAAAAGGAACACUGUUUGAUCUUAUUCACAGAAAGAAUAGUAAACCGCAUCUCCCUUUCAGUUCACUUCUAAGGAUCGCCAAUGAGGCAGUUGAGGGGCUUGCAUUUUUACAUUCCUACGCAAACCUACCAAUUCUACAUGGUGAUGUGAAAACCUCUAACAUCUUUCUUGAUGAGAAUUACAUGGCAAAGGUGUCAGAUUUUGGGGCAUCUAUAAUAGCACCAACUAACAAAGCCUAGUUCGUCACAAUGGUUCAUGGGACAUGUGGUUAUCUGGACCACGAAUAUAUGCAGACAUAUUGGUAGACAAACAAAAGCGGUGUUGUUCUUAUAGAGAUCCUAACUGGGGAGGAGCCACUGAAACUUGAAGGUCCUGAGGUAUGCCAGAGCUUGUCGUCGAGUUUCCUGCUAGCUAUGAAGGGGAACAAUCUUGAUAAUAUGCUCAACAAUCCAAUAAAAAGUCAUGACAUCAUGGAGUUGAUUGUAGGGGUAGCAAAUCUAGCUAGGCAAUGCUUGGAAAUGUGCAGUGACAAUAGGCCCUCAAUGAAAGAGGUAUCUGAGGAGCUUAGCAGAUUAAGGAAGCUUUUGAGGCAUCCUUGGAUACAGCGUGAUACUGAGACAGGUAGCUUUCUCGGUCUGAUUGAAAUAGAACAAAGCUCUGAGUGCACAGAAAAGGAUGAAAGAAUGCCCAUAAAUCCAAGCAGUUUUUACCUUAUGAGGUGA